RNAcentral lists this ribosomal RNA (396 nucleotides) under uncultured bacterium. RNAcentral describes it as "bacterial SSU rRNA". It matches the Rfam family "Bacterial small subunit ribosomal RNA", at positions 133 to 518 of the family's 1533-position model. The record is from RNAcentral.
UCAGAGGGGAAUAACCCGGCGAAAGUCGGACUAAUACCGCAUAAAACAGGGGCACCGCAUGGUGAUAUUUGUUAAAGAAAUUCGCUGAUAGAUGGGCAUGCGUUCCAUUAGGUAGUUGGUGAGGUAACGGCUCACCAAGCCGACGAUGGAUAGGGGAACUGAGAGGUUGGUCCCCCCACACUGGUACUGAGACACGGACCAGACUCCUACGGGAGGCAGCAGUGAGGAAUAUUGGUCAAUGGGGCGGGAGCCUGAACCAGCCAAGUCGCGUAGAAGGAAGAAGGAUCUAGUGGUUACGUUAAACUUUCUUUUGCGAAGGGGAAUAAAGUGCAGGACGUGUCCUGUUUUGUAUGUACCCUGAGAAUAAGGAUCGGCUAACUCCGUGCCAGCCGCCGC